GCCGGGUGUUGUGGUGGGCACUUGUAAUCCCAGCUACCUGGGAGGCUGAGGCAAGAGAAUCACUUGAACCCAGGAGUUUGAGGUUGCUGUGAGCUAAGACACCACAGCACUGUACUGAGGGUGACAGAGUAAGACUCUGUCAAAAAAUAAAUCACAUUUAAGGAUAUUAGAUGUCAUUUUGAAUAAACAAUUUUAGCAUAAUUAAUUUUUUUUUUUUGAGACAGUCUCACUGUGUGGCCCUCAGUAGAGUGCUGUGGCAUCACAGCUCACAGCAACCUCAAACUCUUGGGCUUAAGAUAUUCUCUUGCCUCAG
Molecule: non-coding RNA, 313 nt
Filed under: Otolemur garnettii (small-eared galago)
Lineage: Eukaryota; Metazoa; Chordata; Mammalia; Primates; Galagidae
Source: Rfam by way of RNAcentral